Molecule: ribosomal RNA, 306 nt
Filed under: Triticum aestivum (bread wheat)
Lineage: Eukaryota; Viridiplantae; Streptophyta; Magnoliopsida; Poales; Poaceae
Description: partial small subunit ribosomal RNA
Source: RNAcentral
AUGUUAUUCGUAAGCUGUCUUAAAAAUACAAUAAAUUCGAUUUUUCUGGCCGCUGGAUUCAAAUCCAACGGUUGGCAUAUGUCUUAUUUCAUCCUUUUCCCCAGCUUCUUCUCGAGAUGCCGUCUUUUUCCUCUUGCUCUCGCCACCGACGUCGCCGCCACCUCCACACCCGCAACCGACGCCGCUGUCGCACCUUUCUCACUGCCUCGCCGUCCUCAUGCCGCCACAUCCGCCAAUGUGCCGCUGCCUCUGGCCAUUCCUCUAACCCCGAGCUCUUCUCCAGCCUUCCACCCUGCGCGCACCUGA